This 711-nucleotide ribosomal RNA is filed under the name Sticta impressula. RNAcentral's name for it is "SSU rRNA". It matches the Rfam family "Bacterial small subunit ribosomal RNA", at positions 375 to 1161 of the family's 1533-position model. Lineage: Eukaryota; Fungi; Ascomycota; Lecanoromycetes; Peltigerales; Lobariaceae. The record is from RNAcentral.
AUGAAAAGCAAUAGCUGAUUGCAUUUAAAUGUAGUUACUACUUGGUAGUUUAAAUUUCUAGGUAGAAUUAUGAUGAUGACAUUAUCUAUCUAUUAGUCUUGACCAAAUUACGUGCCAGCAGUCGCGGUAAUACGUAGAAGACAAGUGUUAUUCAUCUUUAUUAGGUUUAAAGGGUACCAAGACGGUUAAUAAAGCCCAAAAGAAAUGAAUACGGGGGACACAUUAACUAGAGUUAUAUGAAAGGAAGCUCUAAGGUACUGUUGAGUGGAGAGAUGAAAUUUUUUGAUACCAGAUUAAGGCACAGAUUUAUGCGAAGGCAUCUUCUUAUGUAAUAACUGACGUUGUAGGACGAAGGCUUAGGAAGUGAACAGGAUUAGGUACCCCAGUAAUCUAGGCAGAAAAUGAUGAAUGUCAUAGGUUCAAUGUCUAUAAAUGAAAGUGUAAGCAUUCCACCUCAAGAGUAAUUUGGCAACAUUGGAACUGAAAUCAUUAGACCGUUUCUGAAACCAGUAGUGAAGUAUGUUGUUUAAUUAGAUGAUACACAAAAACCUUACCACAAUUUGAAUAUAUAUAAAAUAUAUUUACAAGCGCUGCACGGCUGUCUACAGUUAAUGUCGUGAGACUUUGGUUAACUCCAUUAAAUUGACGAAAACCCUAAUUUUAUUUAUAAAUAUAAUUAACAUUGUUAUAUUUGAUGUUUAAGAGGGAACA